GUCUACAGCCAUAACACUCUGAACACAUCUGAUCUCAAAAGCUAAGCAGAGUCAGGCCUGGUUAGUACUUGGCUGUGAGACCACAUGGGAAUACUGAGUACUGUAGGCU
This 109-nucleotide ribosomal RNA is filed under the name Colobus angolensis palliatus. Lineage: Eukaryota; Metazoa; Chordata; Mammalia; Primates; Cercopithecidae. The record is from RNAcentral.